RNAcentral lists this long non-coding RNA (309 nucleotides) under Solanum lycopersicum (tomato). RNAcentral's name for it is "long non-coding RNA (SLYC_LNC000369)". The record is from RNAcentral. Lineage: Eukaryota; Viridiplantae; Streptophyta; Magnoliopsida; Solanales; Solanaceae.
UAUAUGGAAGUAUCAACGACAAGUUGCUAGCCACGAAUUCAAUACUAGAUCACUACGAAAAUUCGUUGAAUCUGUAGUUGAUGUCGAGGUAUCUGAACGUCUAGUUCCCAUACUCGCGAACGCUGCUGCUGAGAAAAAUGUUGUCGAUCUACAAGACGUGUUGCAAAGGUUCGCAUUUGAUAACAUUUGUAAAAUUGCAUUUGGUUAUGAUCCAAAGUAUUUGUUACCUAACUUACCUGAAGCAGAAUUCGCGGUAGCAUUUGAAGAUUGUGUUCGAUUGAGCAGUGAGAGAUUUGCUGUCCCUUUUCC